This 332-nucleotide ribosomal RNA is filed under the name uncultured bacterium. RNAcentral's name for it is "bacterial SSU rRNA". It matches the Rfam family "Bacterial small subunit ribosomal RNA", at positions 568 to 898 of the family's 1533-position model. The record is from RNAcentral.
CGCGUAGGCGGCGGACCUUGUCGAGUGUGAAAGCCCCGGGCUCAACCUGGGAGGUGCGCUCGAGACGGGUUUGCUGGAGUUCGGGAGAGGAGAGUGGAAUUCCCAGUGUAGAGGUGAAAUUCGUAGAUAUUGGGAAGAACACCGGUGGCGAAGGCGGCUCUCUGGACCGAGACUGACGCUGAGGCGCGAAAGCGUGGGGAGCAAACAGGAUUAGAUACCCUGGUAGUCCACGCUGUAAACGAUGUGUGCUAGACGUUGGGGAGCGUAGCUCUUCGGUGUCGCCGCAAACGCUUUAAGCACACCGCCGUGGGGAGUACGGCCGCAAGGUUAAA